UACGGAGGAUCCGAGCGUUAUCCGGAUUUAUUGGGUUUAAAGGGAGCGUAGGCGGGUUGUUAAGUCAGUUGUGAAAGUUUGCGGCUCAACCGUAAAAUUGCAGUUGAUACUGGCAUCCUUGAGUACAGUAGAGGUAGGCGGAAUUCGUGGUGUAGCGGUGAAAUGCUUAGAUAUCACGAAGAACUCCGAUUGCGAUGGCAGCCUGCUGGACUGUAACUGACGCUGAUGCUCGAAAGUGUGGGUAUCAAACAGG
This 253-nucleotide ribosomal RNA is filed under the name uncultured bacterium. Its description in RNAcentral is "partial 16S ribosomal RNA". It matches the Rfam family "Bacterial small subunit ribosomal RNA", at positions 524 to 776 of the family's 1533-position model. The record is from RNAcentral.